GCUGUGGCUCAGUGCUGGAGAAUCUGCUUUGCAUGAAGAAGACCCCAAGUUCAAUCCCUGGCAUCUCCA
Molecule: non-coding RNA, 69 nt
Organism: Podarcis lilfordi (Lilford's wall lizard)
Lineage: Eukaryota; Metazoa; Chordata; Lepidosauria; Squamata; Lacertidae
Source: the annotation of a GenBank genome assembly